RNAcentral lists this ribosomal RNA (253 nucleotides) under uncultured bacterium. Its description in RNAcentral is "partial 16S ribosomal RNA". It matches the Rfam family "Bacterial small subunit ribosomal RNA", at positions 524 to 776 of the family's 1533-position model. The record is from RNAcentral.
CACGUAGGGCGCAAGCGUUGUCCGGAAUUAUUGGGCGUAAAGAGCGUGUAGGCGGUCCGGUAAGUCAGCUGUGAAAGUCAAGGGCUCAACCCUUGAAUGCCGGUUGAUACUGUCGGGCUAGAGUCCGGAAGAGGCGAGUGGAAUUCCCGGUGUAGCGGUGAAAUGCGCAGAUAUCGGGAGGAACACCAAUGGCGAAGGCAGCUCGCUGGGACGGUACUGACGCUGAGACGCGAAAGCGUGGGGAGCAAACAGG